This 301-nucleotide ribosomal RNA is filed under the name uncultured bacterium. RNAcentral's name for it is "partial 16S ribosomal RNA". It matches the Rfam family "Bacterial small subunit ribosomal RNA", at positions 510 to 808 of the family's 1533-position model. The record is from RNAcentral.
AGCAGCCGCGGUAAUACAGAGGGUGCGAGCGUUAAUCGGAUUUACUGGGCGUAAAGCGUGCGUAGGCGGCUUCUUAAGUCGGAUGUGAAAUCCCUGAGCUUAACUUAGGAAUUGCAUUCGAUACUGGGAAGCUAGAGUAUGGGAGAGGAUGGUAGAAUUCCAGGUGUAGCGGUGAAAUGCGUAGAGAUCUGGAGGAAUACCGAUGGCGAAGGCAGCCAUCUGGCCUAAUACUGACGCUGAGGUACGAAAGCAUGGGGAGCAAACAGGAUUAGAUACCCGGGUAGUCCCUGUCUCUUAUACA